Molecule: unclassified non-coding RNA, 236 nt
Filed under: Paraphaeosphaeria parmeliae
Lineage: Eukaryota; Fungi; Ascomycota; Dothideomycetes; Pleosporales; Didymosphaeriaceae
Description: partial contains 5.8S ribosomal RNA, internal transcribed spacer 2, and large subunit ribosomal RNA
Source: RNAcentral
CGCACAUUGCGCCCCUUGGUAUUCCAUGGGGCAUGCCUGUUCGAGCGUCAUCUACACCCUCAAGCUCUGCUUGGUGUUGGGCGUCUGUCCCGCCUCUGCGCGCGGACUCGCCCCAAAUUCAUUGGCAGCGGUCUUUGCCUCCUCUCGCGCAGCACAAUUGCGUCUGCGGGGCCCGCGUCCACGAAGCAUUACCAGUCUUUGACCUCGGAUCAGGUAGGGAUACCCGCUGAACUUAA